CGAAGUUAGAGAGAGCUUGCUUUUUCUAACUUAGUGGCGAACGGGUGAGUAACGCGUGAGGAACCUGCCCCAAAGAGGGGGACAACAGUUGGAAACGACUGCUAAUACCGCAUAAGCCCACAGCUCCGCAUGGAGCAGAGGGAAAAGGAGCAAUCCGCUUUGAGAUGGCCUCGCGUCCGAUUAGCUAGUUGGUGAGGUAACGGCCCACCAAGGCGACGAUCGGUAGCCGGACUGAGAGGUUGAUCGGCCACAUUGGGACUGAGACACGGCCCAGACUCCUACGGGAGGCAGCAGUGGGGAAUAUUGCACAAUGGGGGAAACCCUGAUGCAGCGACGCCGCGUGGAGGAAGAAGGUCUUCGGAUUGUAAACUCCUGUUGUUGGGGAAGAUAAUGACGGUACCCAACAAGGAAGUGACGGCUAACUACGUGCCAGCAGCCGCGGUAAAACGUAGGUCACAAGCGUUGUCCGG
This 470-nucleotide ribosomal RNA is filed under the name uncultured bacterium. RNAcentral describes it as "bacterial SSU rRNA". It matches the Rfam family "Bacterial small subunit ribosomal RNA", at positions 63 to 548 of the family's 1533-position model. The record is from RNAcentral.